CCAGGGCCUGAAAAUCCAGAUUCCAGCACGAUGCCGAACAACUCACUCCUCUCUCCAGUAUCGCGCCAAGAAGACGUAGUCCUCGCUGAACGGCGUGCUACAGUUUCCGUAUACCUCGUCUGCCGCGUGUUGAUCGAAAUUUUCAACCAGAGCACGCUGCAGGCCAUCACUGCUGAAAUGGCAGAGAGGUUAGAAGACAUUGUUUUUGGACAAUUAAAAACAGUUGAUCCGGACCAAAUUGCUGCGUCGCCACUUCGAAUGGCAAACUGGCGAAUUUAUGGCCAACUUUUGGGCAUUAUGAGCGAAUCUAACUUUGGCAGCGUUUCAAAUAGAUUCCUUGCGGAGCUGAGCCAAUUUCAGAAGGAUGAUUUCAGAUUAGCAACGACGAAGGAUGCGG
Molecule: small RNA, 397 nt
Filed under: Histoplasma capsulatum
Lineage: Eukaryota; Fungi; Ascomycota; Eurotiomycetes; Onygenales; Ajellomycetaceae
Also listed under: 1 other name
Description: hypothetical RNA
Source: RNAcentral